RNAcentral lists this ribosomal RNA (497 nucleotides) under uncultured bacterium. RNAcentral's name for it is "partial 16S ribosomal RNA". It matches the Rfam family "Bacterial small subunit ribosomal RNA", at positions 28 to 507 of the family's 1533-position model. The record is from RNAcentral.
GAUGAACGCUGGCGGCGUGCCUAAUACAUGCAAGUCGAGCGAACGGACGAGAAGCUUUCUUUUCUGAUUUUAGCGGCGGACGGGUGAGUAACACGUGGAUAACCUACCUAUAAGACUGGGAUAACUUCGGGAAACCGGAGCUAAUACCGGAUAAUAUUUUGAAAUGCAUUGUUAAAAAGUGAAAGAAGGUUGGGUGGAUAGUUAGAUAGGUAUCCCCGGUGAAUUAGCUAGUUGGUAAGGUAAGGGGUUACCAAGGCAACGAUGCAUAGCCGAUCUGAGAGGGUGAUCGGCCACACUGGAACUGAGACACGGUCCAGACUCCUACGGGAGGCAGCAGUAGCGAAUCUUCCACACUAGUCCAAAUCCUAACCCAACAACACCAAGUCAGGCAUGAAGGUCUUCGGAUCGUAAAACUCUGUUAUUAGGGAAGAACAUAUUUUUCAUUAACUAUGCCCAUCUUAACAUUCCCUCAUCAGAAACCCACGGCUAACUACCUG